AGCGCGAUGGAGCAGUUCGGUAGCUCGCUGGGCUCAUAACCCAGAGGUCGCUGGUUCAAAUCCGGCUCGCGCCAC
Molecule: transfer RNA, 75 nt
Filed under: Actinoallomurus iriomotensis
Lineage: Bacteria; Bacillati; Actinomycetota; Actinomycetes; Streptosporangiales; Thermomonosporaceae
Description: tRNA-Met
Rfam family: tRNA
About the family: Transfer RNA (tRNA) molecules are approximately 80 nucleotides in length.
Source: RNAcentral